This 1479-nucleotide long non-coding RNA is filed under the name Salmo salar (Atlantic salmon). RNAcentral's name for it is "lncRNA (ENSSSAG00000086040.1)". The record is from RNAcentral. Lineage: Eukaryota; Metazoa; Chordata; Actinopteri; Salmoniformes; Salmonidae.
AGGAGAGACAGAGGGACAACACACAGGACUGGGAGACAUGGAGAGAGGAGAGACAGAGGGACAACACACAGGACUGGGAGACAUGGAGAGAGGAGAGACAGAGGGACAACACACAGGACUGGGAGACAUGGAGAGAGGAGAGACAGAGACAGGACACCCCAACACUAUAGAGAGUAGAAACACAGAGAGACAGCAUAGAGUCACAGAAAAGAGAGAAACAGAGACUGAGACUGGAUGUGGUGACUCUAUCAAUGCAGAAGCUAACUACAAAAAUGCUAACUGUAAGGAUAGCAGACACAUCAAUGCAGAUAGCCAUGAAACAUAUUCUGAUGUGUUUAAAGGAGACCGAGACACCAGUCACUCAAAUCCAGACAAGAACCUCACAGAGGCUACUCACACAGACCAAGACACUGACAGUACAGACACAAGCCCUGGUCAAGCAGAUGUUGAACACACACAUAAUGACUAUACAACAACAAGCAGUGUAUUUGUAGACACUACAAUAACAGAGGAAACUGACAGUACAGACAGAAUACCUUCUGACCCUAACACCACAGAGACUAUGCCAACAGACACAUGCAUCAAACAUAGCGACUCAACAGACACAAAUACAGACACACCCUACAAAGACAGCCCUACAGACAGCAGUCACACAGACACAGAUCCUCUCCAAGGCAGACACAGAGGUAACCCAUGGAGACAGCCCUACAGACACAGGUAUAGACACUGAUGUUGAUUGUUCAGACAGUAACGUUAUAAAGACAGACAGACACCGUUCAGCCACAGACUAACCAGGAUGAUGAUAGAUCUGUUCACAUCCUCACAGAUACUCUCCAUAAAGAUAGUAUCACUCCUACAGCUAUUUAGACAGACAAAGAUGUCAGCCAUCUUUACUAUGUCUAGCAAUGACAGUGUUUUUUCUCAUUCAUAUUAUGUCUGUAUGUAAUUAUGAAGAGCAAUUUUUCUAUAGUUUACAUACUCUGUAUAUUACAGAGGUUUAUAAAGCUUUUGUAAAUAUUUAGUUUUUGAAUUGAAUUAAAGUGAAUUAAAGUUAUGUAUGACUAGAUCUUUGUGUUUGUUUUGGUGUUAUUCAGUUGUAAGGAUUCAUUAACCAACCCUAACAUACAGUAUAAACUUAGGCCAGAGUUUCUAAAUAACAAACAGAUCCUUUAGUCAAUAUUUCUAAAUAUCAUUUAUUUUUCUUUCACCUUUAUUUAACCAGGUAGACCAGGUGAGAAAAAGUUCUCAUUUACUACCACGAUCUGGCCUAUAUUAAGCAAAGCAGUGUGACAAACACAGUUACACAUGGGAUAAAUAAAUAUACAGUCAAUAACACAAUAGAAAAGUCUAUGUACAGUGUGUGCAAAUGUAGUAAGAUUAGGGAGGUAAGGCAAUAAAUAGGCCAUAGUGGCGAGAUAAUUACAAUUUAGCAUUAACACUGGAUGAUACAUUUGCAGAUGAUAAUGUGCAAGUAGAGAU